RNAcentral lists this ribosomal RNA (501 nucleotides) under uncultured bacterium. RNAcentral's name for it is "partial 16S ribosomal RNA". It matches the Rfam family "Bacterial small subunit ribosomal RNA", at positions 29 to 523 of the family's 1533-position model. The record is from RNAcentral.
AUUGAACGCUGGCGGCAUGCCUUACACAUGCAAGUCGAACGGCAGCACGGGUGCUUGCACCUGGUGGCGAGUGGCGAACGGGUGAGUAAUAUAUCGGAACGUACCUUAUUGUGGGGGAUAACGCAGCGAAAGCUGUGCUAAUACCGCAUAAUCCCUAAGGGGGAAAGCGGGGGACCGUAAGGCCUCGCGCAAUUAGAGCGGCCGAUACCUGAUUAGCUAGUUGGUGAGGUAAAGGCGCACCAAGGCCACGAUCAGUAGCUGGUCUGAGAGGACGGACGGCCACACUGGGACUGGGACACGGCCCAGAACCCUACGGGCGGCAGGAGUGGGGAAUUUUGGACAAUGGGGGCAACCCGGAUCCAGCAAUGCCCGGUGAGGGAAGAAGGCCUUCGGGUUGUAAAGCUCUUUUGUCAGGGAAGAAACAGCAGCGCUAACACAGUUUGCGAAUGACGGUACCUGAAGAAUAAGCACCGGCUAACUACGUGCCAGCCGCCGCAGUAA